Molecule: ribosomal RNA, 37 nt
Filed under: Polyommatus celina
Lineage: Eukaryota; Metazoa; Arthropoda; Insecta; Lepidoptera; Lycaenidae
Description: partial 28S ribosomal RNA
Source: RNAcentral
UGGCCUCAGAUCAGGGAGGAUCWCCCGCCGAAUUUAA